This 255-nucleotide ribosomal RNA is filed under the name uncultured bacterium. RNAcentral describes it as "partial 16S ribosomal RNA". It matches the Rfam family "Bacterial small subunit ribosomal RNA", at positions 524 to 776 of the family's 1533-position model. The record is from RNAcentral.
UACGUAGGGUGCAAGCGUUGUCCGGAAUUAUUGGGCGUAAAGAGCUCGUAGGCGGUCUGUCGCGUCUGCUGUGAAAACCUAGGGCUUAACUCUGGGCGUGCAGUGGGUACGGGCAGGCUAGAGUGCGGUAGGGGGAGACUGGAAUUCCUGGUGUAGCGGUGGAAUGCGCAGAUAUCAGGAGGAACACCAAUGGCGAAGGCAGAUCUCUGGGCCGUAACUGACGCUGAGGAGCGAAAGCAUGGGGGAGCGAACAGG